AUGGUGGAUCCGGCGAAAGGUAGAGAUACGGCCUCGACGGAGCAAGAGCAGCCCCCCGGACAGCGACCGACAUCCUUCUCAGCGGGGGAGAACGGCGGUGCUGCGCAGGCUAUGGAGGGAGACGAUGUAAAGGCCCCUAGCGUGGAUCAGACCGAACCAAAACCAGCAAGCAAAAACACGCCUGGCGCCGAGACAAUUGAUGGGGAACACACGGACGAGGGGAAUGGUACCAAACCAGCGCAAGUCGCCGACGAAGACAACAGCGGCCAAGCAGAUGAAGAGGGAUGGACAAGACGUCAAAGGAAUAAAAAUGGGACGCCAUUCAGAGCAGCAGCGGAGGGCAAUCGAGAGGGCGAUGGAUGA
RNAcentral lists this ribosomal RNA (363 nucleotides) under Triticum aestivum (bread wheat). RNAcentral describes it as "partial small subunit ribosomal RNA". The record is from RNAcentral. Lineage: Eukaryota; Viridiplantae; Streptophyta; Magnoliopsida; Poales; Poaceae.